Molecule: ribosomal RNA, 637 nt
Filed under: uncultured bacterium
Lineage: Bacteria
Description: bacterial SSU rRNA
Rfam family: Bacterial small subunit ribosomal RNA
Source: RNAcentral
UAAAGAUUCAUCGCUGAUAGAUAGGCAUGCGUUCCAUUAGGCAGUUGGCGGGGUAACGGCCCACCAAACCGACGAUGGAUAGGGGUUCUGAGGGGAAGGUCCCCCACAUUGGUACUGAGACACGGACCAAACUCCUACGGGAGGCAGCAGUGAGGAAUAUUGGUCAAUGGGCGUAAGCCUGAACCAGCCAAGUCGCGUGAGGGAUGAAGGUUCUAUGGAUCGUAAACCUCUUUUAUAAGGGAAUAAAGUGCGGGACGUGUCCCGUUUUGUAUGUACCUUAUGAAUAAGGAUCGGCUAACUCCGUGCCAGCAGCCGCGGUAAUACGGAGGAUCCGAGCGUUAUCCGGAUUUAUUGGGUUUAAAGGGUGCGUAGGCGGCCUUUUAAGUCAGCGGUGAAAGUCUGUGGCUCAACCAUAGAAUUGCCGUUGAAACUGGGAGGCUUGAGUAUGUUUGAGGCAGGCGGAAUGCGUGGUGUAGCGGUGAAAUGCUUAGAUAUCACGCAGAACCCCGAUUGCGAAGGCAGCCUGCCAAGCCAUGACUGACGCUGAUGCACGAAAGCGUGGGGAUCAAACAGGAUUAGAUACCCUGGUAGUCCACGCAGUAAACGAUGAUCACUAGCUGUUUGCGAUACACAGUAA